UCUCCCACCUGUGUUGCUGACGGUGACGUCGUCGGGGGCGUGCGGUGCCCCCUCCCAGAGGCUCAGGUCGCGCGGGUAGCCGGGGUCCGGGCGCGCUGCCGCCUCGUCGUACCGCCAGUACCGCCUGCCCCGGAUCAGCCUGCUAGCCCCGGCGCCCAGCCUCUCUGACCACAGAAGCCUCUUCCUUGGGGACACAGCCCAGGCGCCAGGACCGAGCUUAUCCACACUCCCAGCUGCUGGCCAAACCCCAGCGCCUCAUUGAUUCCUGAGCCAGUGAGAGGCCAAGGAGGGACAGAGACAGCAAGAAAGGCAAGCAGCCCCGCCUGGAGGCCACUAGGCGAGAAUCUAAGGAUGAAAUGAGGGCUUCCCUGGUGGCGCAGUGGUUGAGAAUCUGCCUGCUAAUGCAGGGGACACGGGUUCGAGCCCUGGUCUGGGAGGA
Eubalaena glacialis (North Atlantic right whale) is the source of this 439-nucleotide long non-coding RNA. RefSeq lists it as uncharacterized. Lineage: Eukaryota; Metazoa; Chordata; Mammalia; Artiodactyla; Balaenidae. The transcript is spliced from 3 exons. The record is from RefSeq and is a predicted model, not a curated record.